AAAGGGUUGGAAAAGCUUUCGGAGUCUAUAUUUUAGUGAGUGAAAAAAAGAAAGAAAAGAAAAACUUUAAUUUCUUCUUUAUAGGAACAGUUCUGAGGGAUGUCUCUUAGGGCAGAUGUGAUGCCAAAUUAAAAAAUAUUGAGUGUAAAGAAUUUCUGCAACCUGAGUCUAAACUUACUUUGAGCUCCUCCUACAAAGGAAGGAAACUAAGCUGCAAAAAAUUCCAGGCUGUUGGUUUUAAUCUGGGGUCAGUGUCCUGCUAUGAAUUUCAAAACUGACCCCAUACUGCAAGGGAAGGAAAGGCCAAAGAAAGAGGCAGACCACUCCAGCUUAGUACCUGUCGGGUUUAAUAAGGGAGUUCACGACGAGGCUUGUCUUGGGCCGCUGCAAGGUGAGUAGAUCUCUGCACCUGCCUGCCAGAGUCUUAAGAGUUUAUGUAGAAGCCUUACUGGGUUCAGUCAGUGUAGAGUCCGAAUGGCCUCAGGAACACAUUACUCUCGUAAGGCAGUGUCCUUGCAGGGUCUCCCUGUGGGCAGAAUUUACAUCCAAGGACAGAGCUGGUGGUAAGGAGCCUCUGUUCCCCAGGUCCAGUCCGUAACUCAGCGGGAGGUCAUGUCCUCUCAAUGACCUCCUGCAGCAGGUGCCCACAUAAAAUUCCUUAAUUUUGUGUAACAUUCUAAUAACUUAAAUUUAUCCGUCUUUCUAGAGUCCAGUAGCUAUAGUACCUGUAAAUUUGUGAUUCUACUAGGUUGAAUAGUAUCUAAAAAUUCAUGUCGGGCCAGAACCUCAGAAUAUGACCCUAUUUGGAAAUGUGUCUGUAGAUUUAAUUAAGGGAAGAUGAGGUCCUACCAUAUUAAUCCAAUGACUGGUGUCUUAUAGGAAGAGGGAAAUAUGGACGCACACACGUGGGAAGAACGCCAUCUGAAUACUGAGGCAGAGAUUGGAGUUAUCUUGUCUCAAGCCAAAGAAUGCCAAGAACUGCUGGCCAUCUGCAGAAGCCAGGAGAAAGUGUUUGUAGCCACACUGAUGGAGCUGGAAGGAGCUGGGAGUUUUCUGAAGCAAGUGGCAUCAUCAGAGAGAGAUCACAAGUAGGCAGAGAGGAGGCAGAGAGAGA
Long non-coding RNA from Neogale vison (American mink), 1114 nucleotides. RefSeq lists it as uncharacterized. The transcript is spliced from 3 exons. The record is from RefSeq and is a predicted model, not a curated record. NCBI's taxonomy places the organism in Eukaryota, Metazoa, Chordata, Mammalia, Carnivora, Mustelidae.